RNAcentral lists this long non-coding RNA (2565 nucleotides) under Oryctolagus cuniculus (rabbit). Its description in RNAcentral is "lncRNA (ENSOCUG00000035031.1)". The record is from RNAcentral. Lineage: Eukaryota; Metazoa; Chordata; Mammalia; Lagomorpha; Leporidae.
AACUUCAGUCAGAAUUCUAGAUUUCUGAUUCCUAGGGCUAAUUCUAGUUCUACCACCAUAUGCUUCCUUUAAAUAAAAAAAAAAAAAUUCCUCCAAUUAAUUAAGACACAAAACAGUAUUUUUCAUAAGAAAAAUGAUCAGAUCAGUUCCUUCCAACAAGACUCAGUGCACAUGGAGAAUGGCACACACCCAACAGUAGAUACUAGCUAUUAUUAACUGAAGUGACACAAUGCCUUGCGUGAAAUACACAAGAAAAACAAUGAAAUAGGUCAGGUUUUAAAGUAAUGGGUAAGAGACUCUCUAAGAAAUAGACCAGGUUGGUUUUGAUGACAGAAAGAACUUGUGAUACUUUGUUAGCAAACUGUUCCUUUCGUACUUUUUUUUUAGGGGGGUGGUUAGGAGAGUUUUAUGUUCUUUUCUGCACAUUAUCUUCUUUUUGAAGAGAUUACUGUACAGCUGAUGGAAUCUUAGAGCAUGUAAGUAUUCUAGCAAGGAUAGAGCUUAGUGUUCAAAUUGCUGCUGGUCCACUGUGUGUAUGAGUUAUAGCACCCGCCUGGGCCUGGGGUUCGGACCUCUUCACACUCACUAACAUCAUGGUUGAGAGGGGCGUCUCUGACAUUUUGCUGUUUGACUCCUCCCUUGUCUGCCAGCAUGGCUCUAAGCAGGCUACUCAACUCAUUUCAAGCACAGUUACCCAACCAUAUUUGGGAAUGAUCAGGUUGAAAGAAUAGGGGAUGUGCUGAGAAUAAAGGAGACACUUCUUAGAAAAAUCCUGGAACGAGGAACUGGUCUAUACAUAUUAGCUAUUAGUGCUGAUCACUGGUUUUAGGUAAAGAUUGAGGCAACACUAAGGAAAAAAAUAGUGAUUAAAGAGUUGGCUCCUUCUGCCGUUGUGUAUGGGAAGAGAACAGGGUAGUGCUGCUAGAAAUGCUGUCUGGAUUGCUCAGUGGAUACUUUCUGGUUCUCAGGCAUCCACAGUACACAUGGGAAGCUGACUUCAUGUAUGUGGCAGUUUGUGCAGUCUUCAGUAGAAGCCAGGUCACCGAGGCAAGUGCAAGUGUGAAGUACAGCAGAGUGGCUUCCCUCACUACUGCAGGAGCACGUGGACCGUGGGCAGCACACGAUGGUGAUAUAGAUGACUUGCAGAGGGUAUUCACUGCAGCCAUGGCUGUAGUAAAUCAGCCUCCAUCCUGAAGAGAUCCAACUCCGUGAGAGAUCCAAAGGCGGGGCAGGUCUCAGGGAUAGUACUUCCGGCUUCAGGUUGCUUUCCCUGUCUUCCCACAUAGCAUCAUCUUGAGGCUUGGAACAGAAGGGUGCAGCUUUCAGUGGACAUUGCGAAAAGGUAACCAUGUUGCAGAUUGGUGAGGUCCUUCAUACCUUUAAUGCCAUGGAAGUAAAAACUCAGAACCAUGGAUUGCUGUGAGAUGUACCCACCCUGAGAGCUUGCAGCUAUCAUGGGACAGGGCAUGGAUGGCCUCUGGAGAAGUAAUGGAGACUUGAGCCCCAUUUAUUUUGCUUUAUCUUUGUCUACAGGGCUAGGUGACCCUAACUGACAUCUGAGGUACAAGACAAAAUCCACACUUCAGCCUUCUUUAGGGAAUUAAACACACUCCUUUUGUUACACUGGAAAUAUUAGUCGUAAAGUUUUUUGUCUCAAGAUCAGAUGUAUGUGAUAGUCUGUAGCAGUUAAGAUGCAGAGAGUUUACGGGAUAUGUAGUGCAGCCGGGGUCAAGGAGGGGCCCUACGUUUAGGUGAAGAUAAUGACCUAGAGCAAGUUGUUUAGAACAUGAUUUUCUCCAGAUUUCCAGGGUCAGGGACCUGCUUGAGCAGGAUGGGAAAUUCUACAGAGCUUGUGUAAGAGCAGAUUUUCGUCAUGUACUAAUAGUUUCAGGAAGUGAAAUUCGUAGCAGUUGGGAAGACAGGUGGAGGAAGGUGACUGAUCUAUGUUCAAUAACUUACCAUUUCAGACUUAGCAAAGUGUGAAGGAAGCAUGCUGGAAUCUCAGAAAUGCAGAUGGACAGAACUGGAAGCGAGCGUAAGUUGCACCCGUUCUUUAAAAGGACAGGACAAGAGUUGGAAGGAGGAUGACUAGCCAGUGACCAUGAGAAACUGCAAAGGCAUUGUUAGGAAAGCUGAGAUUCAGAAAGGCAUGGGACUACUCUACAUAAAGUUUACACAGCAGGCCAAUAGCAGAAAGUGACAGUAGCCUGAUACAAAACAUUUAGUUAAUCCAGACACACACCCCAGCGCACUGCUUUGCCUGAAAGAAAAACAAUGGGGUUGGGUUAGUCAAAAUGCCUGGAGCAAAGAGUGUCAUGCAGAUCUGAUGACCAAAAGAAUGUACAUCCACAUGGUUCAGAUAUUUCUCCUGUCCUUUCUAUCUAGGUAAUUAAGUUUGAAAUUGAGAAGGGUAGGAACAUGUUGGAAAGAGAGUUCUGAAAAAAAUGGGGAAGCUCUGUUUUGGGUAAGUGGUUUUAAGGCUUUAGACCUGUAGGAACCAUGUCCCAUGAUACUGGGAUUUCUUAAAGAAGUUAUAAUAAAAUACACUUGGCAAUCUAGAAGUCA